GCACCCCUUUGUUCUUUUCCCUUUCACUCCUCAUCUCCAUUUUCAGCUAAAGGUUUUCUUUCCUUUAGCCAUACACAGACCUGUAGUGCCAUCUUGGUACAAGUCUUCACCUCUUUCUUCUGCAAGCAUGAGCGCCUCUCCCCGUCUCUCACCCCUUUCCCCUUGAAGCAGAGAUUUCAACAUCCCUCAACCAUGGCAGCCUUAAUCUUUCCGUUUGAAGCAAAGGAAUCUGUCCUUUGUACCCGAGACUGAAGCCUUGUGAAGAUUUUUCCAUUUCACACUUCAUAACGCAUGAGAUCCUUUCAAAUUUCAAACGAAAUCUCACUAUUUUAGUGAGGGAUCCGAAGUGUACCUCAGAAAUUGGUACGUUUUUUUUUAACGGGUGUCUUGACUCGAUUUUGAAUACCAAGUAUCUAAGAUCUCGCCCAAAAUCUAAAAAAAACCUAGCUCGCCCCUAUAAAUUCUAGCAUUUUUCUACUUAUUUGGGAGAGGUUGGAAACCCGCCGAAAUUCCCUAAAAAAUUAGAGUCUUUUUUUAGCCGUCUUGAAUCACCUAUGAAAUAAGUCUUCAGCCGCCCAAAACUUCUCCCGAAAUAUUAAUUUUAGUAGUUACAAUCUUUUCUUGAUAUUAAGUCAUUUUCCUGUUUUGUUGUCUCUGGAAUUACUUCGCGUUCGAGUGUAUACGAGUUCGAGUUCGUGGUGUUCGAGUAGAUAUCGGAACCUUCACCUCACUUCACUGCACCCGAAGAAGGAUUCGUUCUUCUUCCGCAUUCGAUGUUGGGCCAAGGCCCAAUGAAACAACCUUCUCUCUUUGUCCAGCCCCUGUCUGCAGCAAAGAAAAAAUAGAAAGACAUAAAAUUUUCUGGGCCAAAGCCCAAUGGCAGUAGUGAUCAUAAUAGCCUUAAAAUAGGCUGAGUCCAUUCCCGAUUGCAGCAACCUUUUAAAAUGAGCUGGGCUCAUUUAAACUAUAUCUACUCCUUUAUUUUAUUUUUGUGCAUUUAACUUGUAUUAUGUGACUAACUUUUUAUUUUGUUUUUAUUUUCUUAAUUUAGGUGAAUCUUAGCGAAUUUAGGGGGUUAGCCUUAGUAUAAUGGGUAGUAAGUUUAUGAGAGAAACUCACAAUUAAUACUAUAAAUUUCAUUUUCUUCUU
Long non-coding RNA from Lycium barbarum (goji berry), 1149 nucleotides. RefSeq lists it as uncharacterized. The transcript is spliced from 2 exons. NCBI's taxonomy places the organism in Eukaryota, Viridiplantae, Streptophyta, Magnoliopsida, Solanales, Solanaceae. The record is from RefSeq and is a predicted model, not a curated record.